RNAcentral lists this long non-coding RNA (551 nucleotides) under Nicotiana benthamiana. RNAcentral describes it as "long non-coding RNA (NBEN_LNC024768)". The record is from RNAcentral. Lineage: Eukaryota; Viridiplantae; Streptophyta; Magnoliopsida; Solanales; Solanaceae.
GAACAAGAAACAUAUACUAAUUUUAGAUCCGAAAAUAUCAAACAAAAUACGAAAAAAAUGAAACUUAAACCAACUAACCAGAUCGAAACCAUGACGAGCUCGAACGGAAUAAAAUCUGCCCGGAACUUUUGAAACCCAAAAUAAACUCGAAUCUACCCAGAACUUUUGAAACCCAAAACAAACUCGAAUCUACCCGGAAUCUCAACAAUGAUCUCGAUCAAUCCACAACCAACAGGGCAAUAUAUAUACUAUAUAUAUAUAUAUAUAUAUAUAUAUAUAUAUGGAGGUGGGUGGGGUUUUGGAUGUCCUUUUUAGUCCAGCGGCCAUGGAGGUCGUCGUUUGGUUUCGUUGCUGGCUGGAGGAGCGGUUGACGAUGAUGGCUGGUGGUUCUGCAUGGUUCAGUGUCGUCGUGUGGGUGGUCUGUUAUAUGAUGAUGAGGCGACAAACUGGGUUAUAGCAUGGGCCUAGUAGUGUCGAGUUUCUUUUGCUGAGAAUAUUUCAGUUUGGGCUUCACGUUUUUAGCUUAACUGAAUCCUUUGCCUAGUGACAAC